RNAcentral lists this ribosomal RNA (468 nucleotides) under uncultured bacterium. RNAcentral's name for it is "partial 16S ribosomal RNA". It matches the Rfam family "Bacterial small subunit ribosomal RNA", at positions 28 to 507 of the family's 1533-position model. The record is from RNAcentral.
GACGAACGCUGGCGGCGUGCUUAACACAUGCAAGUCGAACGGAAAGGCCCUGCUUUUGUGGGGUGCUCGAGUGGCGAACGGGUGAGUAACACGUGAGUAACCUGCCCUUGACUUUGGGAUAACUUCUGGAAACUGGGGCUAAUACCGGAUAGGAGCUCCUGCUGCAUGGUGGGGGUUGGAAAGUUUCGGCGGUUGGGGAUGGACUCGCGGCUUAUCAGCUUGUUGGUGGGGUAGUGGCUUACCAAGGCUUUGACGGGUAGCCGGCCUGAGAGGGUGACCGGCCAAAUUGGGACUGAGAUACGGACCAGAAUACUACGGGAGGCAGCAGUGGGGAAUAUUGCACAAUGGGCGGAAGCCUGAUGCAGCAACGCCGCGUGCGGGAUGACGGCCUUCGGGUUGUAAACCGCUUUCGCCUGUGACGAAGAGUGAGUGACGGUAAUGGGUAAAGAAGCACCGGCUAACUACGUG